This 1700-nucleotide long non-coding RNA is filed under the name Triticum aestivum (bread wheat). Its description in RNAcentral is "long non-coding RNA (TAES_LNC013695)". The record is from RNAcentral. Lineage: Eukaryota; Viridiplantae; Streptophyta; Magnoliopsida; Poales; Poaceae.
UUGAUACUUAGCUGAGUGAUUCAACACAGGAGAACUAAUUAGUGGCUGGGACUGCUCCAAUCAUCCAGCUUGGUAUAUUUUAUAAGAUACUUAGUUGAGUGACGGCCUUUAGAUGUUUCAGAUGCUGAAGAGUAUUUUCUAAUUAAAUCAUCUGAGUUUACUGUACUUUCUCUGCGGGAGCAACCUGAAGCCAAAAGAACACAAAAGUGUACAAACUAAAAUAAAAACAUGUCCACAUGCCUAAUAACUUUGAAAGUCUGAGUCCUACUACAAUAGUUCAAACAAUCAAUAGUCAGAAGAGGCUAAUUAAGGUACUGGUAUAAGGUACUUAACUUUAACUGGGCACACAUAAUAUAGGAUUGAAGAAUUUAGAUAAGAUGCCAAGGGUUCUUCACUCUAUAUGGCACUAACCUGAGCACUAAAGCCAUGGUUGUCAUUGCAUAGCUCUAGAUUAAAUAAUAAGAACAUAACCAAAUGAUUUAUGCAUUAGUGCAUGAACAAAUAGAAAAAAAACAAGCCUAUAAUAUCCCAUGCUAUAUGCACACCAAAUGAAGGCCAAACAGAAGAUCGUCAAUAAGAAAAAUAGAACUAUGAGAGUAUAAAUUUUCAGGAAACGAUAGAAUGGUGGGAUUCAUUGUGCAAUAAUGAUUAUAAGCUCGGGUAUGUACAUUUGAACAAAUAGAAGAUUAAUAAAGGGAAACAUGCAAAAAAAAAGCUUUCGAAAAGCAGUAGUAUUUUUACCUCUGUAACAGAGGAAGUACAAAAAUGUAUUAGUUGGCAGCUCUCCGGAUAGCGAAUUGCCUAGGAAAAAGAACCAGUAGGUAUAAUAAUGGUGUUACUUUCUUGCGCAAGAACCAAAACUUCGCCAAAAAGUAAAAAAUAUUGGGCACAUUGCACCUUUAUUUUCCCUAUAAUCCUUGCAUUUUCUUCUAGACUGUAUGAUGGCGGUGCAAGCUAGCCAGCAUCUUCAGAUUAGUCCAUCCAAAAAGCACACCAAAGGUAACAGUUGGAUUGAUUGUAUCAUCCCUGAAACACCAUUAUUACAAAUUUAGUUGCUGCUUAAUAGUAAAUAGAAGUGUACUUCUUGCUUAUCACGCUUACUUAGGACUCAUAGGCCUUAUCUAAUCCCUCUCCGGCCAAAGCAAACCAUCUAUCUAUGCGAAAUAGGCAAGAGGUAGGCAAAGAUGCUAUAUACCUAAGAGUAUAAGUCAAUCUAAACUAAAGUACUGCUCACAAGAAAGCGAGCAUGAUAACACGUCGUUGCUUGCUCUAAUAAUAAAUAAGUUGUUGGAAAGGAGGAGGAGGCUCUUUUAUUUAUAAAGUUUAGUUUAGUGAUUUAGUACAAAUUAAUAAGGACAUGUCCAAACCUGACAGGCACAACAACCUCAAAUGGAUGGGGAUGGUUUGGUUAAAUCAGGAUGAGCGGAAAUGAAAUACACCAUAUACAUUUUCCAUGCUUUAACAUAUAUCCAUGAAAAGCAGAGAACUAUUACGCAUCCUCAUAUACUCACUAAAGAAGUAGAGAAUAGCAAUUGCUACUAAACUAUUUGUAUGCAUCCACAUACACUCAUUAGAAAAACAGAGUAAUGUGUGCAUGUUAUAUAAGUUAGUCGACUACCAAUCGUACGAACCUUUCUUUAGCAUGUUUGAGAAGAAUAACACGGCAGGAUCGACCAAAGCAAUCUUUCGCUUGAGUUGCU